AUUUUUUUAAAAAAAGUUUUUGGUCUCUUUCUCCCCCAACUUCUCCUAACAAAACACAUCUUGAGAAAACUAUUCAGCUGCAAAUGUUGGCUGACUUAUACAUAAAAGGAAAGUGUGAUGUUGACACUCUUCAGAGAGUCUGAAUGGACCUGUGUCUAUGGUGGAAAUGAAGCCAUGUAACUCCUGGAUCGAGAUCACAAAUAGUGAUAGAGCUUCUGCCAGUUCUUCUUGGGAAGCAUAUUCUUAGAACCCACUCAUUAUGUUCUAAAGAGACAGAGAAACCACAAAAGUUUAUUAGUAAGAAUUUUGUCAGAAAGCCCCAAAUAAACCCAUAGCUGAGGCCCCAGUCAGGGGCAACAACCUCCAGACAUGUCAAUGAAUGGGCAUUUUGAUGGAUUUUGCGCUCCAGCUAUCCAGCCACUUCCAGUCCUCAAAUCUUCUCAGCUGAGACCUCAAACAUCAUAAAGAAGAUACAAGCUGUUCCCACUGUGUGCCCUGGUUGAAUACCUGACCCACAGAAACCAUGAGAGACACUGUUCUCAGUGAAUAUAACAAAGAUGCCUGCCUUCCUGGAGCUUCCAUCCUGAUGGGAGGAGCUAGACCAUAAACAAAGAAGCACAGAGGUA
Long non-coding RNA from Zalophus californianus (California sea lion), 626 nucleotides. RefSeq lists it as uncharacterized. The record is from RefSeq and is a predicted model, not a curated record. NCBI's taxonomy places the organism in Eukaryota, Metazoa, Chordata, Mammalia, Carnivora, Otariidae. The transcript is spliced from 3 exons.